AAUCUGCACUCUAGGAUGUCUGGAAUCAAGUGAGCCGAAAGACCGUCGUCACACUGCAUCCGUAAGUAGAAGGCAGAGGCUACAUGAACCAGAAUCCAAGGAUAAGUUCGACAUUCGUUAGUCCUCAAUGAUCAACCAAAGAGAUGGUUGGACUACUAUUGGGGUUGAGUUGUUUGCUCCAUUUUGGAGGUGUAUUGGCUUUUGAUUAUGCCUACGAGGCUCCAUUCACGCCUAUAACAUCACAAGACUCCCAAAAUAUUCAAGGGACUGAGAAAAUUGUGGCAUCACAAACAACAGACUCUGAUUUUGCCAACCGACAAGGGUUCUAUCAACCAAAUCCAUACGACAGGCAAGAUGGACUUGAAGCAUCAAUCCCUUUAUUGGUUGCUCUCGGAAUUGGAGGGAUCGUAGCAGGUGCUGCAGUGGUUCAAAAUGCUAAUCAAGCCCGUGAAAAUUUACAAUCCCAAUUGGAUACCAUCAACACAAGGAUUACUUCAUCUAGUAAUAGUGUUUCCAGCCUAUCUUCCACUCUAUCUUCUCUGAUAAGUACUGACAACAUCAACACCGCACGAGCGAUUUCAGCAUGUUCUAGUGUUGCGAAUGGUGCGGCAGUUCCUAUUUCUAGCCCCCCUCCAACGUCGGAUAUCGCAGUACAAAUCUUAAUAGACAACCUUGUUAUGGCAAUUGGAACCAACACGUGUCCAUGACUUUUGUAACAACAUGACCCAUUGCUCGUAAAACAUGAAAUCAAUCAACUAUUGUCGCAACACUGAAUGUCUUUUUGCUAUUAGAUUUGUUCCCUUUGCUACCUUUGAGAACUUUUCUAGAAGUGAAGUGAUUUACAAACAUCAUUUUACCUUGUUUUCUACAUCAGAAAAAAUAUAUAAACAAU
Molecule: long non-coding RNA, 892 nt
Organism: Tigriopus californicus
Lineage: Eukaryota; Metazoa; Arthropoda; Copepoda; Harpacticoida; Harpacticidae
Exons: 4
Source: RefSeq, a predicted model, not a curated record